RNAcentral lists this ribosomal RNA (442 nucleotides) under uncultured bacterium. Its description in RNAcentral is "bacterial SSU rRNA". It matches the Rfam family "Bacterial small subunit ribosomal RNA", at positions 354 to 796 of the family's 1533-position model. The record is from RNAcentral.
GUAGGGAAUAUUGCGCAAUGGGGGCAACCCUGACGCAGCAACUCCACGUGUGGGAUGAAGCAUUUCGGUGUGUAAACCACUGUCGAGAGGGAAUAAUUCGGCCUUUCGGGGCCGUUGAAUGUACCUUUAAAGGAAGCACCGGCAAACUUCGUGCCAGCAGCCGCGGUAAUACGAGGGGUGCAAGCGUUGUUCGGAAUCACUGGGCGUAAAGGGAGCGUAGGCGGGCCGCCAAGCGUUCUGUGCAAUCCCGGGGCCCAACCCCGGACCCGCAGAGCGAACUGGCGUCCUUGAGUGGUUCAGAGGCCGGCGGAAUUCCUGGUGUAGCGGUGGAAUGCGUAGAUAUCAGGAAGAACACCGAUGGCGAAGGCAGCCGGCUGGGGACCCACUGACGCUGAGGCUCGAAAGCGUGGGAAGCAAACAGGAUUAGAAACCCUAGUAGUCC